Carassius carassius (crucian carp) is the source of this 560-nucleotide long non-coding RNA. RefSeq lists it as uncharacterized. The record is from RefSeq and is a predicted model, not a curated record. The transcript has 3 exons. NCBI's taxonomy places the organism in Eukaryota, Metazoa, Chordata, Actinopteri, Cypriniformes, Cyprinidae.
CAGCUUGAUUCUCAGGAAUCAGAAUAUGGGUCAGCACUAGAGGGCAGGCUUAUGAUACAUUACAGUAGAUAAUCUCACGACAGUCUUUUUAGAUCUCUGUCUCUUGGCAUAAUUGAGUUCGUAAGUGAGGAGUAAAAUCUGUAGAUGUUUUUUGGAGACUAGAGAGACGCAGAUGAGUUUAUAUGUGCACAUUUCAUCUUCAUUACAAUACAUCUGACUUUUGAUUUCAGGGCGUUGGCGGAAAAAUGGCACUUAGUGCAGCUUCUGUAAUACGUUCACUUUUUAACGCGGGAGAAUCAACUGAGAAGACGUGUUCAUCAGGCGGCUGAGGAAAAUCUUACUGAAAGACAAGGCAGCAUGUGGGCGAUAAUAAUCCAGAGGAACAUUCAUGAUCUACCUUGAGAGCAAACUUCAUGCAGUUUAGAAACUGUAAAUAGAAUUGUGCCAGUCAAACAGUUAAAAUCUGCUGCUGAGUCUCUACAGCUCUUAGCAAAUAUGGCAAUGCCCUCAUCCAAAUGUAUCGGGCAAAGAGUAAAGACCUUGAGAUGACAUGAAAAGCA